AUGUCAAUAAGCGCAAAUAGUGCUUCAUCUCAGUGUAGAAUAACUUGUUUGUCAUCAUCCAUCGGUAAGUUGGAUAUUGUUGUCAUUUUGCAGGGUCCUAACUUGGUUAUCAGUCAGAGCAAAGCUUGCUUAGAUAAUAUGAAUGAAUGGUGUAAAACCCAUCAUGCAUCUAGUGAGAGAGUACUGCAGAGUGAGAUUUCUGAGGGUGACGCGGAGAAACAAGUGUUAGACUUCCUCAUGAGGCAUGUAGGUUCAGACACUCCAAUAGCUGGGAAUUCAGUUUACGUAGAUUUACUAUUUCUAAAGGAUUCUCAAUCUCAAAGGAAUGGUAGCACGUGA
RNAcentral lists this ribosomal RNA (339 nucleotides) under Triticum aestivum (bread wheat). RNAcentral's name for it is "partial small subunit ribosomal RNA". Lineage: Eukaryota; Viridiplantae; Streptophyta; Magnoliopsida; Poales; Poaceae. The record is from RNAcentral.